Molecule: long non-coding RNA, 921 nt
Filed under: Homo sapiens (human)
Lineage: Eukaryota; Metazoa; Chordata; Mammalia; Primates; Hominidae
Description: HSALNT0357808
Source: RNAcentral
CUGGGCUCAAGCAAUCCUCCCGACUUGGCCUCCCAAAAUCCUGGGAUUACAUAUGUGAGCCACUAUGCCUGGCCUGUUAUUCCUGUAUUCUAACUUAUCCAUCCCUUAUGUCCUGGAGGCUGAGAAGUGCAAGAUCAAGGUGCCGGCAGUCUUGGUGUCUGGUGAAGGCCUGCUUUCUCAUAGAGGCUUCCUUCUUGCUGUGUCUUCGCAUGGUGAGAGGAACAAACAAGCUCCCUUGUGCCUUUAAUAAGGUGCUAAUCCCAGUCAUGAGGGCAGAGUCUCCCGUAAGGCUUAACCUCCUAAUGCCAUCACCUUGAGGGUUAGGAUUUUAACACAUGAACAGUGACGGAACACAACGUUCAUUCCAUAGCACCAGGGUAGUCUCCUCAUGUCAAGGUCUUUACCUGAAUCACAUGCAUGAUGUACCGUUUUCAUGUAAGGUUCUAGGAAUCUGUGGACAUCUUUGGGGGGCCAUUAUUUUGCUGAUCACAUAUUACAUAUUUUUUAAUAUUCUAGACUAGUAUGAAAACAAUGCCACUUCCAUUGCUUUAUAUACGUAUCUAUAUACACAUUGUCUAAUGCUAUAAUUAAAAAAAAGUUGUAGACACAAAUAUACCCAUUUAAAAAAAAAUUUUUUUUGCUAUUUUACUUCAUACUGCCAACUCCUUUUUCCUGAAACUGCUUCAACUCUGGAAUUCUUUUUUGCUAUUAGUUUUAUUUUAUUGAAAUAUUCAUGAAUGAGCAUACACUUGUAUAUGGAUUUAAAAUUCACAGUAAUGUUCUCAUGAGUUCAUCUGUGAAUAACAUUUUAUAGACAAAAUGUCUGCACUAAGACAAGAGAAAGAUCUAUAAUUCCUUUGUUCUAAGGUACCGCCAUUCAUUGUUAUUAUUUUAAAAUAGGAGUGUUGACUGAUGUUAAAA